CGGACGGGUGAGUAACGCGUGAGUAACCAGCCUUUCAGAGGGGGAUAACGUUCUGAAAAGAACGCUAAUACCGCAUAACAUCAAUUUAUCGCAUGAUAGGUUGAUCAAAGGAGCAAUCCGCUGGAAGAUGGACUCGCGUCCGAUUAGCCAGUUGGCGGGGUAACGGCCCACCUAGUCGACGAUCGGUAGCCGGACUGAGAGGUUGAACGGCCACAUUGGGACUGAGGCACGGCCCAGACUCCUACGGGAGGCAGCAUG
This 258-nucleotide ribosomal RNA is filed under the name uncultured bacterium. RNAcentral's name for it is "partial 16S ribosomal RNA". It matches the Rfam family "Bacterial small subunit ribosomal RNA", at positions 99 to 353 of the family's 1533-position model. The record is from RNAcentral.